Molecule: ribosomal RNA, 517 nt
Filed under: Mushya faciata
Lineage: Eukaryota; Metazoa; Arthropoda; Insecta; Hemiptera; Caliscelidae
Description: partial 16S ribosomal RNA
Rfam family: Archaeal large subunit ribosomal RNA (bases 1-150)
Source: RNAcentral
CACCUGUUUAUCAAAAACAUGUCUUAAAAAAAUUUAUUUUAAGUUUAACCUGCUCAAUGAAUUAUUUUAAAUAGCCGCAGUAAAUUAACUGUGCUAAGGUAGCAUAAUAAUUAGUCUUUUAAUUAAGGUCUUGAAUGAAUGGUUGGAUGAAAAAAAAACUUUAUUAAUUUUUUUUGUAUUGAAUUUUAUUUUUAAUUUAAAAAGAUUAAAUUUUUGAAGGGGACGAUAAGACCCUAUAGAUCUUAAAAAUAUUAUAUUUAUAUAUAUUUUUGUUGUUUAUAUUUAUAAAAAUUAUAUUAUUUUUUUGUUGGGGUGACAAAUAAAAAUUUAAACUUUAUUUUUUUUUUACAUUUGUUUAUGAAAUUUUUGAUCCUUUUUUGGAUAAAAAGAAAAAGAUACCUUAGGGAUAACAGCGUUAUAUUUCUGGAGAGUUCUAAUCAAUAGAAUUGUUUGCGACCUCGAUGUUGGAUUAACUUAAAUUUGUGGGGUAGAUUUUACAGUUUUAGGUCUGUUCGAC